This 257-nucleotide unclassified non-coding RNA is filed under the name uncultured fungus. RNAcentral's name for it is "partial contains 5.8S ribosomal RNA, internal transcribed spacer 2, and large subunit ribosomal RNA". Lineage: Eukaryota; Fungi. The record is from RNAcentral.
AACGCACAUUGCGCCCCCUGGCAUUCCGGGGGGCAUGCCUGUCCGAGCGUCAUGACGCCACUCGAGUCCUUAAGUGGUCUUGGUCUUAGGCCACGCCGGCCCCCACGCCGGCGGGCCCCAAACACAUCGGCGGUGCCGCCGGGCCCCGAGCGUAGUAUCCACCCUCGCUCCCGGGCGUCCGGCGCACAUCGCCCGCCAACGCAGCCCCGCCACGCAGGGUUGACCUCGGAUCAGGUAGGAAUACCCGCUGAACUUAA